UUUCCGUAGGUGAACCUGCGGAAGGAUCAUUAAUGAAUUUUUGAAGGGGUUGUAGCUGGCCCGCGAGGGCAUGUGCACGCCCCGUUCAAUCCAUUCUACCCCUGUGAACCACACUGUAGGGAUCGAGGGCCGUGAGGCCUGCUUUCCCUAUGUCAUUUUACAAACUCUGUAGUGUCAGAAUGUCACCUGCGUAUAACGCAUCUUAUACAACUUUCAGCAACGGAUCUCUUGGCUCUCGCAUCGAUGAAGAACGCAGC
RNAcentral lists this unclassified non-coding RNA (257 nucleotides) under uncultured fungus. RNAcentral's name for it is "sequence contains ITS1, 5.8S rRNA gene". The stretch from base 209 to 257 matches the Rfam family "5.8S ribosomal RNA", at positions 1 to 49 of the family's 154-position model. Lineage: Eukaryota; Fungi. The record is from RNAcentral.